Molecule: long non-coding RNA, 2873 nt
Organism: Ictalurus furcatus (blue catfish)
Lineage: Eukaryota; Metazoa; Chordata; Actinopteri; Siluriformes; Ictaluridae
Exons: 3
Source: RefSeq, a predicted model, not a curated record
AGUAACAGUAAACCGUUUUUGUGUUGAUCUUGAUGUAUGUUUUGGAUCAUUGUCCUGCUGGAAGAUCCAACCACGGCCCAUUUGAAGCUUUCUGUCAGAGGCAGUCAGGUUUUCAUUUAAUAUCUGUUGAUAUUUGAUAGUCCAUUACGCCAUGCAUCCUUUCUCUGUACCGUCACUUUGGGGUGGUAGUUACAUCCAUCGACUUGGAUAAGCAAGUUACAAGCCAUCGAUAAGGGAAACCUGAGAUCAAGAUACAUCUCAGGUUUUAUUUAUCUAUACGAUAUUUAUUUAUACAUCCAACGAUUUAAACAUACUGGUUCUCCACAAAAGUAUUAAAGAAAGGAUCUCAAAACCGUGAUGUGCCUCCGAACCCUCAAAGCUCCGCUCGCUCGUUUAUUCACAUUGGCAGAAUAUUCCCGAAGUGUUCGCCAGCCUCCUGAAUCAAUAUCCACAAGGUUAUAAUCCACAGUAAGAGCAUUAGCAUGGUCCUUGGCAAACGCACACCAUCAGUUCCGCCAUUCCCACCUGGCUCUCAUUUCCGCGUCCCGCUUUCUCUCACCUAGUCACCUGUUCUUUUUAUUGCUUCCUAAGACCCCACCCUUCUCUUCAUCUCUUUUUUUACUUCCGUUAAUUAAAACACCACGGAAUGGAACGGACUCCGCUUCUGCGUCACUAAAUGGUAAAAUGGUAAAUGGCACACUUAUAUAGCGCUUUUAUCCAAAGCGCUUUACACUGUGUCUCAUUUACCCAUUCACACACCAAUGGUAGCAGAGCUGCCAUGCAAGGCGCUAACUUGCCAUCGGGAGCAACUUGGGGUUCAGUGUCUUGCCCAAGGACACUUUGGCAUGUGGAGUCAUGCUGGCUGGGAAUCAAACCGCCAACCCUACGAUUAGUGGACAACCCGCUCUACCACCUGAUCCACAGCCACCCCGUCACUGUGCAGCUAUCUGUUACAAAUGAAUGGGAAAAUAUCCUUGGCAUCCCUGCAAUUCAAGGAUGUUGUAAUUGGUAAGUUGUGAUGUCAAAAGUAUCUGUACCAAGUUGAUACUAAAAUUUUAAAAAGAAUGAUACGAUAAGUUUUUUUUUCAGUACCGGCAGUACCAAGUAUUCUCCUGCUUUCUGAUUGACUUUCUUUUGUAGGUAUUAAUUAACCGUGAUUUCCACUCAGCCAUCUUACUGGAAUUUGUGUCGGUUAGGAAUAAGACUGAGGAUGGAGUUGUACAGUUUUGUAGUGUGUAUCAUUUGUAAAUAUUGUUAACUUCUUUACCAUAGCCAUGCUGAGGGAGGUGUUGACUAAAUUAGAGAUGGUGCUGGACCAACAAACCACUGAGCUUGCUUCAACUACAGGUGUUCCAGGUGCAGUCUUUGGAUACUGAUGAAGAUUUAUUGCCCUGCAAGAUCUUCCUCAACUGCAUAGUCUGGAGCAAAGGAUGCAACAGAGCCCAGAUUGCAAGCAAAAACUGGGCAGAUGUGCUUGACUGCACCUGGCGCAUAUUGAAGAGGGUGAUUGCUAACUCCCUGGCAAAGAACCUCAAUUGGAGGGGAGUCAAUGGAAAGACUUCACUGUCCGCUCUCCAACUUGGAGAGGUCAUGAUUGAAACCUCUUCACGGCUAAAGCUGCAGAGAUGGAGGUCGAGGGGACCAUGAAGAGGUGGCUCCAGCUGGCAUCAGAUCGAGAGUGCGGGCGCAAGAGAAGACUUUUGAAAACUUUUGCAAAAAGAAGGUAUUUAGAGUGUUUUAACUGUGGUGUCUUUGUUAAUUUGUUAAAAUGUUCAUAUUAUAGUCUAUUUUUGAUUGUUUAUAAAAGUCCUUGCUGUUUUUAAGUGGUUGAAAUUGUGUGUGUGUGUGUGUGUUGGUAGCUGGGUGGCUAUACAGUUGCGGUCGGAAGUUUACAUACCCCUUGCAGAAUCUACAAAAUCUUAAUACUCUUAACAAAAUAAGAUUGAUCAUAAAAAUCCUAAGUUUCUUAUUUAGUACCGCCAUGAAUAAGCUAUUUCACAUAACAGAUGUUUACAUAUAGUCCACAAGAUAAUAGCUGAAUUAAUCAAAAUUACCCCAUUCAAAAGUUUACACACGUUUGAUUCUUAAUACUGUGUGUCGUUACCUGAAUGAUCCACGACUCUUUUUAUGUGUUAUGAUAGUUGUUCAUGAGUCCCUUGUUUGUCCUGAGCAGUUAAACUGCCCACUGUUCUUCAGAAAAAUCCUCCAGGUCCUUCACAUACUUUGCUUUUCCUGCAUAUUUUAGCCCUUUCAAGUAGCGGUUAUAUGAUGUUCCGAUCCAUCUUUUCACACUGAGGACAAUCGAAGGACUCGUACACGACUAUUCCAAAAGGUGCAAACAUUCACUGAUGCUCAAGAAGGUAACAGCAUGCAUUAAGAGCCUGGCUGUAAACGUUGUAAACAGGAUGAUCAUGUAAAUUUUUUUGUCUUCUGGGAUACUUCUUCUAUGCUGUAUUAACCAUCUUUCUGUAAUAAACCUUUUUCACCUCAGAGGACGAGUCUGCAAGUGUUGUCUAAUUUCCACGACACAACUCAGUUUUUACAUUUUUUUAUUUUAUUUUUAAGAAAAAUAAUUAAAAUUCAAUAACCUUUUGACUGUAUGAGGUACCGGUAAAUGAGAAAAAACAUAGUACUACUUUCAUAAAAUGUCAUGUGCAGCUUGAUGCUAAUUAUAGUAAUGUCUAGUAAUUCUGAGUCUUGAACAGUAAACUCUCAAGUGUCAUUGUCAUGUCACAGCAAACCAGCGACUCCGUUUCCCAGAAUGCACCUCAGACUACAAACAUGGCAAACACAAACUACAACUCCGAACCAACACACCGACAUUGUUAACCUUCUCCAGAAUACUAAUCAGACAAACCUGUUACCAGUGAACC